GUGAAAUGUCCUGUUAAGUCAGGCAACGAGCGAGACCCCCACCCCUAGUUGGUAAUCCGGUCUCCGGACCGGAUCCACACUAGGGGGACUGCCAGCGUAAGCUGGAGGAAGGAGGGGGCCACGGCAGGUCAGCAUGCCCCGAAACCCCUGGGCCGCACGCGGGUUACAAUGGCAGGGACAACGGGAUCCCACCCCGAAAGGGGGAGGCAAUCCCUUAAACCCUGCCGCAGUUGGGAUCGAGGGCUGAAACUCGCCCUCGUGAACGAGGAAUCCCUAGUAACCGCACGUCAACAACGUGCGGUGAAUACGUCCCUGCUCCUUGCACUCACCGCCCGUCGCUCCACCCGAGUAGGAAAAGGGUGAGGCUCCUUGCCAUCGGGUGGGGAGUCGAACCCUUUUCCUGCGAGGGGGGAGAAGUCGUAACAAGGUAGCCGUAGAGGAACCUGCGGCUGGAUCACCUCACAU
Molecule: ribosomal RNA, 465 nt
Filed under: Sulfolobus sp. F1
Lineage: Archaea; Thermoproteati; Thermoproteota; Thermoprotei; Sulfolobales; Sulfolobaceae
Description: bacterial SSU rRNA
Rfam family: Archaeal small subunit ribosomal RNA
Source: RNAcentral